Molecule: ribosomal RNA, 438 nt
Filed under: uncultured bacterium
Lineage: Bacteria
Description: bacterial SSU rRNA
Rfam family: Bacterial small subunit ribosomal RNA
Source: RNAcentral
ACGCGUGGAACCUUACCAGGUCUUGACAUCCUCUGACACUCCUAGAGAUAGGACGUUCCCCUUCGGGGGACAGAGUGACAGGUGGUGCAUGGUUGUCGUCAGCUCGUGUCGUGAGAUGUUGGGUUAAGUCCCGCAACGAGCGCAACCCUUGAUCUUAGUUGCCAGCAUUUAGUUGGGCACUCUAAGGUGACUGCCGGUGACAAACCGGAGGAAGGUGGGGAUGACGUCAAAUCAUCAUGCCCCUUAUGACCUGGGCUACACACGUGCUACAAUGGAUGGUACAAAGGGCAGCAAAGCGGUGACGCCUAGCAAAUCCCAUAAAACCAUUCUCAGUUCGGAUUGUAGGCUGCAACUCGCCUACAUGAAGCUGGAAUCGCUAGUAAUCGCGGAUCAGCAUGCCGCGGUGAAUACGUUCCCGGGCCUGUACACACCGCCCGU